AGAAGUGUUGGGGUUUUCUGCUCCCAGAACUUCAUUGUUAAAGAAAGGAGGAGGAAUUUGUCCUUCCCUCCACUUGGCAAGCAAUGCGCAUGUUCCUUUCUGUAAACAGCAGACUAAUUUGAGCAGUGAGCAGCCCCCACUGGCUUCUGGCUUUUACUAACUGUAGGCUGAGGGCUCAGUGCAACAAAAACUUGAGUUGCCCACAGAACAGCUACUCUGAUUCAGAUGAAAGCUGGGGAGGACUUCGGUCCUUCUUGGAAAAUACUUGUGCUUUUUUGUUGAUUGUUCUUGUUCCCAACAGAGACAGAAGUGAACUAAUCUCCCAAACUGGGAUGCUCAGAGAUGUCCAAAGUGAGAUAGGACUGGCAAGAAUACAAUACACAGAUUAAUAAGGAAGUCAUUAAGGGAUAGAAAAGCUCUGAUGUGAUGGAGUGGCUUUUAGUUUGAAGAAAAAUAGGAACAUUUACUUUUGGCUCAGGAAGAGACCACAAGAUGCACUGUUUGUUACUGAAGUGAUAGUACUUUUGCCCUGGGCACCUUACUUCAGAGGAAAGAUGCUUCCCAAAACAGUUUUCAGCCACUGAUCUUUCAGCUCCGUGAUUUGGAGUGGCAGAGUUGCACAUGAAGCAUGUAGGAUGAGGUGCCACGUGGCAACAGCUUUCUCUUCUGGCUGUGCUGAGGAGCUCUCAGCACACUGUACUCCCACCUGCCAUUGCAGCAGCUCAUGUGUGGAGGCACCUCUGGAGAACACCAGGUCCAAACCCCAGCCCAAAGCAGCGCCUCCUGGAACUACACAGGGCCAUGGCUGAGUGAGAUCACAAUGGUGGCUGAGAAAUCUUUGUUGCUCCCUUUUCUCCCAUCAGCAACACUCAUAUCCAGGCUGAAUAAAUCCUUCAACAGCAUUCUUUGCUUGUGGCCGUUUGAUGUGCUUCCAAGCAGCUACAAACAUGGGAGACACCCAAACUGCUUAGUGCCAGAAAGGCUGAAACUGCACUGCCAUGGGAGCCUGAACGGCAGAGGGGCCACCUGGCAGUGCCCUGCAGGACCCAAGGUGCUCACCCACCCACUACGCAAGAAGCUCCUCAUGUCCUUCCGCUCUGCGGUGGGCAGCACCUGGAGUGCCUUUCCUAGCUCUGAUUCUAUUCUUCUGCUCCAAAGCAACAAGCCAAACUCCCCACCAGCAUUCAACCUCCGUGCCAAAAAGAAAAUAACAAGAGUAAAAGCACUGCACAACAGAAACACAUAGGACAGUGAAGAGGCUGGGAUUGCUGGGGAGUCCAGCAUAGUCGCGUCGGGGUGCUCAGGUCGGUGCUGCUGCAGCAUUCAUCCAGGCCAAUGGGGAAGGUAGGUGGUUGGUGGCUGUGAGCACCUCCCCUGGAUGGAAAAUGACACCUCUGCACAGCUCUGGACAUUUCUGAAUGCCACAGGAGGUUGGGGAGACCAGCCCAGCUGGAAAGAGGGUAGACAUGCUCCAGCAUCAAUGCCAUCAGCUCUGACAAGGUCCUGGCUGGCUGCAGCACGCUGAUGUCCUCAUAAACCAAGGCUCUCUCUCUGAUGGCUGUGCAAACGAGAAGCUGGGCUUAACUGGAGCACAGUGCUGUUGCUGGCUUUAACUCUCCAAUGAACUCUCCAAUUCCCAUUUUCCCAGGGCAGUUCAGCGCCAGGGUAAAUCAGUGCAUGUGUGCAGCCCUGCUGCCAGCUGGCUGCUCCUGCCUGCAGCGGUGUCUGGUCACAGCUCUGGGGAUGUGCCCUGCAAGUCCCCCCUUGGCAGCACCUCCUGCCUGCCACGCUCACUUCCUUCAGCCUUUGCCUUUCUCCCUGCUCUGGUCCUCUGACUUCAGAACAUGGCUUUCUGUUUUAGUUCACUUCUGUAUUUAUACUGGGCCAAACUGACUGGAUACUUUCUGAACAGGGUGACCUAGGAGUUUUGAACAGACCAUCUUGUCAAAAGUUCUGUUAUUUCCCUUACCAAUGUGGUUUGAUUUGUUUUAUUUUCUUUUUUCUUGGUAAAACUGUCAAUAGGAACCACUUUUUGAAAGUCAGAAGAUGCAAAGCAGACCUUCCACAAGGAUUCCCCAAGGAGCAGAGAAUUUGAGGAUCACUGCGAAGGGCAUCAUUGCUCCUUGCUGUUCAUCCCAAACUGUCUUCAUUCUCUCACCCUGUGUAUUCCUGCACAACGGGACUGAGGGAAGUGCAUGAGAUCUAUUGCUGAACUGUGGUGUGGAUAGACUUUGUCUUCCUCAGCUAGCAUUCUGUCACCUUUCAAGAGUGAAAAAUUCAUUUUUAAAACAAAAAUCCCAAGUAAGAAACCUCACAUAGUUGCAGGAAACCACCACAGAGGUAUACAAUAUCCAGCGGAAGACCUUGCUGAAAACUGAACAGAUUACUCUUGUUAUAUGUGGUUAAACUGGGCCAUUAAUGCUAAAACAGUUCAAAGCACAAAAUAAAUUCUGAUUUUCUCCUGUCAAAGUUGGUGGUUUGGUGUUCACACAUUCUAGGCUCCGGUUAAAUGAUUUACUGUACAAUUUAAUGCCUUUCAGCUGUCACUCGCAAAAAGGAUCCCUUGAAUGAUCUGCCAGUGAAUGAAGGCAGCACUUGCCCAGGGUGAAGUGUGGCCAGGGCUGCAGGACCCAACUUGCCAAGAUACUCAGGAACAAUCACGUAAGCCACUGUGACCCAUGUGUGGUACCCAGCGAAGUGAAGGCCACCUUGCUGUGAUCACAUCUGCAAAACCACUUCAUUUAAAGCAUACUGAGACGUUCACUCUGCUGUGGAACUUUUACGAGCAACUGCCUUUACAACAGCUCGCACCAUAGGCACGCUGCUAUUCUUUGUCCUUCUUUUGAACUCUUCUCUGCUCCCGGUCUUCCAGCGGUGUGAUUUUUUGAAGUUUUCCUUCACAAUAGCUUCUCAAAAUCCCAGUUCUCACAUAUCAACACAAAUAGGAGAAACAGUUGCCAUGGGACAGUGAAAAACAUAUUUCAGGAGCUCAGGAGCAAAGAAGGAAAUAAAAAAGGCACUGGAUUUCAGCAGUUACGUGUUGUAGUGUUUGACGUAGCUCUGAGUUCUUUGCUUUGUCUCUAGCUGCAGUGGUACUGUGCCUCUCAUGUUCAGCAGUGGGUGCACUCAGCAGUGGGUGCAGCUCUUAGCAGUGACCUCAUGGGGACACAGCAGUGCCCAGCACUGCAGCCAUGUUCUGUGGAACAGAGAGAAUACUGGUGUCACCUAAAACU
Gallus gallus (chicken) is the source of this 3233-nucleotide long non-coding RNA. The record is from Ensembl. NCBI's taxonomy places the organism in Eukaryota, Metazoa, Chordata, Aves, Galliformes, Phasianidae.